This is a long non-coding RNA of Lycium ferocissimum, 1083 nucleotides long. RefSeq lists it as uncharacterized. Lineage: Eukaryota; Viridiplantae; Streptophyta; Magnoliopsida; Solanales; Solanaceae. The transcript is spliced from 2 exons. The record is from RefSeq and is a predicted model, not a curated record.
GUGAGUUAAACACUUUCGUGGAUUUUUAAACCGAAACCCCUGCUGGGGGGGAGGGGAAUUUUUGCCAAAUUUUUUCUCGGAACCAUGAUUCUGAUAUAAAAAAGAAUGACAUUUUUGCGAAAAAAUCAAAACACUCUCUUUUGGCAAAUAAAUACAUUAAUCACACAUUGAAGCUCGUAAGCCAAUUUUAUUCUACGGAACUUUAAUACGAGGGUGCAUAAAACCUUCCCUAGGGAAUCACCAGAACCCUUACCUCGAACUCUAGUUCGGAAUUUUUUUUUACUUAUUUUUGAAAAAAUCUUUAAACCUGGUUUUCCUAGUUUUCCAUAAUAAAUUAAGUGGCAACUCUAAAAUUACUAAAAUCCAAUUAGAGCACCAAUAACGUCGUAGUAACUUUUAUGCCUUAACCCGCAUAAAAGCGAACUGUAACAACCAUUUCACACGGAUUCAAGAUGAAUCCCUCUAAAGCCGAAAGUCCCACAUCGAUACUUAGAAAAAGAUUUGGGGUUUUGGGGGUUCUAUAGAAAGAACUCCCAAGUCAGUAACACACACACACACAAGUCUCAAUAUUCAGAGCAAAAAAAACUCAAUAUACCUAGGGAUCUAGCCAUUUCUGCUAGAACCUUUAACUUAUUGAGUUUCCUAGUUUUUUAAUUUAAUUCUUUCGUUUGUGGCUAAGUUUUGAGGUAUGAGGAGCGAGAAGAUCUCCAAUUUCAAUCUCGAUUCAAGGCUGCACAUAAGAAAGGACCCUUGACGAUGCCAUUUGGGCCAACUUCUCAUAAACCUGUUGGGCUAGAGGCCCAACUCCUCUUGUGAUAGAGUCCGGGCGGAAUUAAAAAUAAAGAAGGCCCAACCAUGGGUGAAAAUGGUCAACUGGUGGGCUUAGGUAGGCCCACCAGCCUUCCCCUUCUUUUAUCUUUAUGUAUUUGUAAAUGUUGUUGUAAACAAAUACUUGUAAAUAUUGAAACUCGAUGGUUAGGACUUAGGAAUUUCAUGUAGAAGUGAGGAAAAACUUUCAAAACGAUUUUCCAAGUUUGGACACGGUUAAAGUAGAAUCAAUGCAUGAAAUUGGUAAUUGAAUUU